RNAcentral lists this ribosomal RNA (638 nucleotides) under Citrobacter freundii. RNAcentral describes it as "partial 23S ribosomal RNA". It matches the Rfam family "Bacterial large subunit ribosomal RNA", at positions 187 to 867 of the family's 2925-position model. The record is from RNAcentral. Lineage: Bacteria; Pseudomonadati; Pseudomonadota; Gammaproteobacteria; Enterobacterales; Enterobacteriaceae.
GGGGAACUGAAACAUCUAAGUACCCCGAGGAAAAGAAAUCAACCGAGAUUCCCCCAGUAGCGGCGAGCGAACGGGGAGCAGCCCAGAGUCUGAAUCAGCUUGUGUGUUAGUGGAACGGUCUGGAAAGUCCGACGGUACAGGGUGAUAGUCCCGUACACCAAAAUGCACAGGUUGUGAACUCGAAGAGUAGGGCGGGACACGUGGUAUCCUGUCUGAAUAUGGGGGGACCAUCCUCCAAGGCUAAAUACUCCUGACUGACCGAUAGUGAACCAGUACCGUGAGGGAAAGGCGAAAAGAACCCCGGCGAGGGGAGUGAAAAAGAACCUGAAACCGUGUACGUACAAGCAGUGGGAGCCUCUUUAUGGGGUGACUGCGUACCUUUUGUAUAAUGGGUCAGCGACUUAUAUUCUGUAGCAAGGUUAACCGUAUAGGGGAGCCGAAGGGAAACCGAGUCUUAACUGGGCGUUAAGUUGCAGGGUAUAGACCCGAAACCCGGUGAUCUAGCCAUGGGCAGGUUGAAGGUUGGGUAACACUAACUGGAGGACCGAACCGACUAAUGUUGAAAAAUUAGCGGAUGACUUGUGGCUGGGGGUGAAAGGCCAAUCAAACCGGGAGAUAGCUGGUUCUCCCCGAAAGCU